Molecule: ribosomal RNA, 468 nt
Filed under: uncultured bacterium
Lineage: Bacteria
Description: partial 16S ribosomal RNA
Rfam family: Bacterial small subunit ribosomal RNA
Source: RNAcentral
GACGAACGCUGGCGGCGUGCUUAACACAUGCAAGUCGAACGGAAAGGCCCUGCUUGUGUGGGUUGCUCGAGGGGCGAACGGGUGAGUAACACGAGAGUAACCUGCCCUUGACUUUGGGAUAACUUCAAGAAACUGGGGCUAAUACCGGAUAGGAGCUCCUGCUGCAGGGUGGGGGUUAGAAAGUUUCGGCGGUUGGGGAUGGACUCGCGGCUUAUCAGCUGGUUGGUGGGGUAGUGGCUUACCAAGGCUUUGACGGGUAGCCGGCCUGAGAGGGUGACCGGCCACAUUGGGACUGAGAUACGGCCCAGACUCCUACGGGAUGCAGCAGUGGGGAAUAUUGCACAAUGGGCGGAAGCCUGAUGCAGCAACGCCGCGUGCGGGAUUAUGGCCUUCGGGUUGUAAACCGCUUUCGCCUGUGACGAAGCGUGAGUGACGGUAAUGGGUAAAGAAGCACCGGCUAACUACGUG